Molecule: long non-coding RNA, 486 nt
Filed under: Homo sapiens (human)
Lineage: Eukaryota; Metazoa; Chordata; Mammalia; Primates; Hominidae
Description: novel transcript
Source: RNAcentral
GGACUCCUUCAGGGUCUCCGGAAACGCGGCGCGGAGGAGCUGUUGCUACUCAGCCCUGCGAGGCGUCAGUGCUGCCCCUGCCUCACCCCUACCCUCCCACUCUUCGCGCGCACACCCCGGCUUUCACAAUAACUGGAUGAGCGGGCCUGGCCUGCAGCGACGACCUAGUGGGCCCUGCCUCUCCACUCCCGCGGUGAUGUACCGUUACCACCCUCUUAAAGGAGCCCAGGAAGGAGGCGGACGGCCCCGUCACAGAGCGUGUAGGGAAAACACAGCACAGUGAUUAUCAGGACGAAACCAAACAAUCGGAACUCCGCAGAGGUGUAGGGAGAUGUGAGGAGAAUGACACAGAUCAAAGAGCUUUUUCCAAGCCAGUAUUUUCCAAACCGCGGGUUAUAAUCUCUAGCGCAUUGUGAAAUUGGUUUGGUAGAUCGGGAUCAUCACCCUCCGUUUUUAAUAAAAUUGAGAAUAGAACAAAAUAGAAAA